CCUCUUGAUGAUGGUGAACUCAUCGAGCACAUCCUCACGGGCUUGAAUGCAGAAUUCGAGUCCCUGGUUUCGGCCCUUGUCACAAGGGUUGAACCAAUCUCGGUUGAGGAGCUGUACUCUCAACUACUCACCUUCGAGA
Molecule: small nucleolar RNA, 139 nt
Organism: Panicum hallii
Lineage: Eukaryota; Viridiplantae; Streptophyta; Magnoliopsida; Poales; Poaceae
Product: small nucleolar RNA Z247
Exons: 1
Source: RefSeq, a predicted model, not a curated record